Vitis vinifera (wine grape) is the source of this 1060-nucleotide long non-coding RNA. RefSeq lists it as uncharacterized. The record is from RefSeq and is a predicted model, not a curated record. The transcript is spliced from 2 exons. Lineage: Eukaryota; Viridiplantae; Streptophyta; Magnoliopsida; Vitales; Vitaceae.
CUCCACCAUGAUUGUGUACUUGUAACUUUCAAACUAUGCUUUCUCCCAAUUUUAUUGUUUCUCUCUUUACAUCAAGAGAAAAGGCACCUUGUUUUUUGAGAGGAAAAAAAAAAUAAGCAACAUUUUAUGGACACAGCUCAUGACAAGGAAAAUUUGUUCAAAACUAAGCAUGUCUCAUUGAUAUAUUAUAAAUUGGUCUGCAAGAACAACAUUUUUCCAAAAAUUAUGUGCUCCCAUACACACUGAAAAAUAUUAAGCCUUUUUUCCCUUCCACUCAUUACAUGGGUCUAUAGAAUAUUCCACUUAUGGAAUCAAAAUUGAUCAGACAAAAACAGUUUCAGUGGUCUGCUUUUAACAGAAAACAAAGAAAAUCUAUUCCAUUUGGGGUUGGGUGGCUAUUGAUUUUGGCUUCUAUUUGAAGGAAAUAAGUCACAUGAAAAAUUCCUGUUUCCGGAAAGUUCUUGCUAGUCAAAUAUUUCAAGUAUAAAGGUGGAAUUUUGUAGAAGAGCUGAUGAAGCUUUACAACCACUAAAUUCCCUUAAUCAGAUGCAUCAAACCACGGCCAUCAGCUUACAGACUCGUGGAAGGAAUCCCAUCGUUUUGCACAGGUUGUUUCCUUGCUCGGCCACUUGCUGAUGGGAAAUGUUCUUUGGAUUGCAGGUAUGUCUAAUGGGGGAUGAACUCAAGCAACCAUGUGGGAGGUUGAUGGGAAAUCUUUUAUGUAUUGUCAACAUUGAUGCUGGGUUUUGAACCAAAUGAUAGAUGAGAAAUGGGAAUAUAUUCCUCUGCUAAAAUUACAUUGCAUAUAUCAAUGUUUGUCACAUAAUCCUCUUGAUAUUGAUGUUUGAACUUUGCAUUUCUCAAAAGAAGAAACUGGAGAGGGUUGAUGGGAUAAUUGUUGAUGGAUUAGCAUAGAAUUCAAUGUGGUUUUGUAUAGGCAUAAGAGAAGUUCCAGAAUAAAAUGAUCUAGUCAGUCACUGAUAAAACCAGAUAUGUCUCAAACCUUAUCUCAUAUUAUUUUAUUUCAGUGUCAAAUUCUGGCUUUGAUGUUCUACUUUUC